CUGAGUCGGGGACUUCCUCCUUCUUAUCCACCACCGGAGCAGUUUUUUCAUCCAAGCACCUAUAAUUUUGAUGGUUCGUGCUUGCUGAACUCCGGAGUCGUUCAUAUGACUUGCACCGGCUUGCAGAAGGAGACCUUGAAUUUUUUGAAGAAAUCUGGUCCUUUGAUAAG
Gavia stellata (red-throated loon) is the source of this 170-nucleotide long non-coding RNA. RefSeq lists it as uncharacterized. The transcript has 3 exons. NCBI's taxonomy places the organism in Eukaryota, Metazoa, Chordata, Aves, Gaviiformes, Gaviidae. The record is from RefSeq and is a predicted model, not a curated record.